GGCCCCUUCGUCUAGUGGACUAGGAUACUGCCCUCUCAAGGCAGAGACACGGGUUCGAAUCCCGUAGGGGCUA
Molecule: transfer RNA, 73 nt
Filed under: Ardenticatenia bacterium
Lineage: Bacteria; Bacillati; Chloroflexota; Ardenticatenia
Description: tRNA-Glu
Rfam family: tRNA
About the family: Transfer RNA (tRNA) molecules are approximately 80 nucleotides in length. Their secondary structure includes four short double-helical elements and three loops (D, anti-codon, and T loops).
Source: RNAcentral